UACGUAGGUGGCAAGCGUUGUCCGGAAUUACUGGGCGUAAAGGGCUCGUAGGUGGCCAACUAAGUCAGACGUGAAAUCCCCAGGCUCAACUUGGGAACUGCGUCUGAUACUGGAUGGCUUGAAUUCGGGAGAGGGAUGCAGAAUUCCAGGUGUAGCGGUGAAAUGCGUAGAUAUCUGGAGGAAUACCGGUGGCGAAGGCGGCAUCCUGGACCGAGAUUGACACUGAUGAGCGAAAGCUAGGGGAGCAAACGGG
This 253-nucleotide ribosomal RNA is filed under the name uncultured bacterium. Its description in RNAcentral is "partial 16S ribosomal RNA". It matches the Rfam family "Bacterial small subunit ribosomal RNA", at positions 524 to 776 of the family's 1533-position model. The record is from RNAcentral.